Molecule: long non-coding RNA, 587 nt
Filed under: Monodelphis domestica (gray short-tailed opossum)
Lineage: Eukaryota; Metazoa; Chordata; Mammalia; Didelphimorphia; Didelphidae
Description: lncRNA (ENSMODG00000034760.2)
Source: RNAcentral
CUGGUUACUGCAUAAAGGAAGUAGUGGGACUCAAUAUUUUGUUUUGUUUUUCUCUGUCAAGGAAAAUGAAUUUUGAACUAGAAAGGACAAAACAAAUGUGGCAAUAUGGGAUUGAUACCCACCAUAUAGAAAGAUGAAAGAAAAUAGACACUGAACUAUAUCAUCAGGUGUUGGAAAGAUUAUAGAAGAUAUGAAUGCUGAACCUCAGUCAUUAAACUGUGAAAGAUCAUAGAAAACAGAAGACAUAUCAGAGGACUGAGAACAGAACCAUGAGCAAUGGGUGGAAUUCACACAGAAGAAAAUUUAGGUUUGAUGCCAGGAAAAGUUUUCUAACAGCUGGAUCUGAGAAAAGUGGAAUGAGUUGCUUUGAGAAGAAGGCAGGUUUCCUGUCACUGGAGGUCUUCCAACAAAGGCUGGACCUUCCCCAAUAUGUUAGAAUGGGAAUUUUUUUCUGGUACAGGAAUAUUGCCCAGUGCCGAAGAAUUGAAGUGAUGAAGGCACUGAGAUGUGUCCGAGGGAAGAAGUGGAACUUAACCCAGGAUUCCUUGAUUCCAAGGCUCAUGCAGUGGUCAGCUACUCUAUACUAA